GUUAAUUUUUAAAAAAAAAUAAAAAAUAGGGGUAUAUUUUUUCUCUCAUAAUAACAGUAAACAGAUUCACAACAAUGUCAAUUUCAAGAAAGCAGACAACAGUUAAUUAGUCAAUAACAGUACAGCAUCAAUGAUCUUGAAUAUAUGCCACUUUUAACUAAAAUAUAAAGGCACAGAACCAGGACAUAGGAGCACAGAACCAGGACCGUUUUUCUUAUCACCAGGACAGUGUCAGGACAAUUCCGUUUAACGAACUUGCACGACUUUUGCAAUAUAAUAUUGUUGUAAUAUACUUUGCAUGGUACUUAUGACGCAUCAGAGAAAAAUUAAGCAACAAAACAGUCGUUUUAUUGCCGUUCUGAUACAAUGUAAACAAACCCACCAGCACAGAAUCAGGACCCACCAGCACCUGACAGGACCAAAUCACCAGCACAGAACGUUCUCUCGCAGGACAACCAUACCCAC
This 465-nucleotide long non-coding RNA is filed under the name Mytilus galloprovincialis (Mediterranean mussel). The record is from RNAcentral. Lineage: Eukaryota; Metazoa; Mollusca; Bivalvia; Mytilida; Mytilidae.